CCUACGGGGUGCAGCAGUGAGGAAUAUUGGUCAAUGGGCGGAAGCCUGAACCAGCCAAGUAGCGUGCAGGAUGACGGCCCUACGGGUUGUAAACUGCUUUUAUACGGGAAUAACGCGCCUUACGUGUAGGGCUUUGCAUGUACCGUAUGAAUAAGGACCGGCUAAUUCCGUGCCAGCAGCCGCGGUAAUACGGAGGGUCCGGGCGUUAUCCGGAUUUAUUGGGUUUAAAGGGCGCGUAGGCCGCAUGUCAAGCGUGCUGUGAAAUGUCCGGGCUCAACCCGGGCCUUGCAGCGCGAACUGGCGUGCUUGAGUGGGCGAGAAGUAUGCGGAAUGCGUGGUGUAGCGGUGAAAUGCAUAGAGAUCACGCAGAACUCCGAUUGCGAAGGCAGCAUACCGGCGCCCAACUGACGCUGAAGCACGAAAGCGUGGGUAUCGAACAGGAUUAGAUACCCGAGUAGUC
Molecule: ribosomal RNA, 460 nt
Filed under: uncultured bacterium
Lineage: Bacteria
Description: partial 16S ribosomal RNA
Rfam family: Bacterial small subunit ribosomal RNA
Source: RNAcentral